RNAcentral lists this ribosomal RNA (960 nucleotides) under uncultured Cantharellales. RNAcentral's name for it is "eukaryotic LSU rRNA". The stretch from base 325 to 960 matches the Rfam family "Eukaryotic large subunit ribosomal RNA", at positions 1 to 666 of the family's 3401-position model. The record is from RNAcentral. Lineage: Eukaryota; Fungi; Basidiomycota; Agaricomycetes; Cantharellales.
GUUGCAAAAUGCGAUAAGUGGUGUGAUAUGCAAGUCCAAAACUUAUACGUGAAUCAUCGUAUUGUUGAACGCACUGCAUCGAGGCUUACCCAGGAACGAUACGCCCCAUUGAGCGUCCCCAAGUCUUCGCGACUUGUCAUUUUCUUGGCAUGUCCGGGUUCGGGAUUCACGACCGAUAAGGUUGCGCUUCCUUAGAAACAUUAGUGCACCGGCUUUGAUGGUGACCUUGUCAUGAAUGUCGAGGUGUGCCAGUAAGAGCUGCGUGUAAGAUCUGCAACUUGUGUGCAGAUCAAGUGCAUCCUUCAUGGACGCAACUUCUCUACAUGACCUCACGGGGGUGGGACGACCCGCUAGACUUAAGCAUAUUAAUCAGCGGAGGAAAAGAAACUAACCAGGAUUCCCUCAGUAACUGCGAGUGAAGUGGGACCAGCUCAAUGUGUGAAUCUGGCCGGGGGUAGUUCCCUGGUCCGAGUUGUGCACUAUGGACGCUUUGUCUGCGCUUGCGUAACGGCGGUGGAAGUCCGUUGAAACACGGCACCAGAGAGGGUCAUAGUCCUGUACCACCUGCCCGCACCCGCGCCAAUGACAGGCGCUCCUCGAGUCGCGUAGUUUUGUAAUGCUGCGCCAAGUGGGAGGUAGAGACCUUCUAAGGCUAAAUAUGAUGACGUGACCGAUAGCAAACAAGUACCGCGAGGGAAAGGUGAAAAGCAACCAUGAAAAAUGGGUUGGAACAGCAGUGAAAGUGCUACCGGGAUAAGGGCUAUUGGGUGCUAGGGCUCUUGACGUGUGCUUCAGUGCUACGUCUCGAGACGGCCUGCGCGGGUUGACGGGGGCGACAGACGGUCUGCUGGAAUUCGGCUGCCUCCGGGCAGUGUUGUAGCCAGCGGUCUCCGAUCCUCCCGCGACCAACAAAACCAUCGCCGGUCUGCGACCAUUAGCCGCCCGUCUUGAAACACGGAC